AACGCGAAGAACCUUACCUGGGCUUGAACUACUCGUGGUAGUUCGAUGGAAACAUUGAGCGACCCGCAAGGGAGCGAGCAGAGGUGCUGCAUGGUUGUCGUCAGCUCGUGUCGUGAGAUGUUGGGUUAAGUCCCGCAACGAGCGCAACCCCUACUCGAUGUUGCUAAUCCCGCAAGGGAUGCACUCUUCGAGAACUGCCUUCGAUAAGAAGGAGGAAGGUGGGGACGACGUCAAAUCCUCAUGGCCCUUAUGUCCAGGGCUACACACGUGCUACAAUGGCCGGUACAACGGGAAGCAAUACCGUAAGGUGGAGCCAAACCCUGAAAGCCGGCCCCAGUUCAGAUUGUGGGCUGCAACUCGCCCACAUGAAGGCGGAAUCGCUAGUAAUCGCGAAUCAGCAGGUCGCGGUGAAUACGUUCCCGGGCCUUGUA
RNAcentral lists this ribosomal RNA (431 nucleotides) under uncultured Elusimicrobium sp. RNAcentral's name for it is "bacterial SSU rRNA". It matches the Rfam family "Bacterial small subunit ribosomal RNA", at positions 958 to 1385 of the family's 1533-position model. Lineage: Bacteria; Pseudomonadati; Elusimicrobiota; Elusimicrobia; Elusimicrobiales; Elusimicrobiaceae. The record is from RNAcentral.